UGAGGAAUAUUGGGCAAUGCCCGAAAGGGUGACCCAGCAACGCCGCGUGGAGGAUGAAGGUCGUAAGAUUGUAAACUCCUGUUAGAGGGGAAGAAUAACUAAGUUUGGAGCUUAGUAUGACUGUACCCUCAGAGAAAGCCCCGGCUAACUACGUGCCAGCAGCCGCGGUAAUACGUAGGGGGCAAGCGUUGUCCGGAUUUACUGGGUGUAAAGGGCGCGCAGGCGGAAUGGAAAGUCAGUGGUGAAAUCCUACAGCUUAACUGUAGAACUGCCUUUGNUACUUUCAUUCUUGAGUUCGGGAGAGAGAGACGGAAUUCCAGGUGUAGUGGUGAAAUACGUAGAUAUCUGGAAGAACACCAGUUGCGAAGGCGGUCUCUUGGUCCGAUACUGACGCUGAGGCGCGAAAGCGUGGGGAGCAAACA
Molecule: ribosomal RNA, 422 nt
Filed under: uncultured bacterium
Lineage: Bacteria
Description: bacterial SSU rRNA
Rfam family: Bacterial small subunit ribosomal RNA
Source: RNAcentral